AAUUAUAAGUAGCUGCGAUCCCCUGGGGCUGCAAGCCGUUACGGCGUUCUAUGCCACCGCGACGACAUAGAACGGCGUUAAGGGGUUAACCCCUUCAGGACUGCAUCAAUAGUGCACGUUAUGAUCAAAACGUAAACAACAACUGGAAUUUGCAUUAUGUCUGUUCAACCGUAAUUCACCGCUGUCACAUUAAGUGCACCCACGCUUAUUAUAUAUCAUUUUGUUCAGGAGAAACAGGGCUUUAAUUUAUCAUUAACUAUUCAUAUAUGGAACAUAAUUUAUUAUGAAUAAAAUUUUAAAAAAUGUGAGAAAAUAAGAUUUUUUUUAAAUUUGUAUUUCCGUCUGACAUUUUAGCUGUGAAUGUCAUAAUACUGUUAUGGGCAAAUGCAAAUAUUACAAGUUUUAGAAUGAAAUGUUGUAUUUCUUAAACUGUGUACUUUGUCUUUAAGAGAGAGUGCAAACUGACAAGGUGUUAGAAAUGGAACAUAUUGUUUUUCAUAGAGGUUUCUUUAAGCAAUAACCUCAGUGCAUAAUAUGUUUACACCAUUUUGUCCCAGACGAAUUACAAUAACAAUAAUGCAUAAACAAGCUUCAAGGCUAUACUACAACUCUUUCAGCAGAUCCACAGCCAGCUGUAGGGGGCCAUGUGAUUGCUCUUUGAGAGUGAUCACAUGGCCCCCGGGGUCUUCUUUUGCCGGGGGAGGGCUGAAUGGACUGUCAGGCAGUCCUCAGGGAGCGCCGGCAAGGUAAGUAUUUUCUGAGGCUCUAGGGCUCAAAGCCAUUACAGCGUUCUAUGCCGCCGCAGAGGCUUUAAAGCCCCAUUUAAUGCGGGAUGGCAUAGAACGGCGUUAAGGGGUUAAGAAAUGGUAUGCCUUUAUGGUGUAGUUGUAAUAUUAGCCUGCACAAGUGCUCCAAAGUGGAACACGGACGCAUCAAAACCCUCCAUGAAAAUUCACACUUAAAAACCUGAACUUGUCACGUCUCUUUUACAGCAGUGUAACUUCACAAAAUAGUGUCUAGGUCAUGCAUUGGGCAUAUUGUUUUACGCAGAAGACUUAGCUGAGCAUAAUGUGGGGGGUUUGAACUUAGUGGCACAUAUGAAAUAUAUAAAAUGCCCAGCAAAAAUGUAAUCUGUAUGUAAAAAAUGCACAAAAUUAUUUUUUACCACAUACAUUGGCAUAUAUUGGUGAGAAAAUGGGGGCAUGUUAAGGCACAAAAUGCACCUUAUGAGAUACCCUGGAGUGUCUAUUUUUACAAAUGGUAGGCCUUUGUGGGUUUUUUUUUUUAACAGUCAGACUGCUAUAAUACCCCAUAUGGAAGCACAGGCUCAUUAAAUCCGUCUUUCAAAAUUCUUCUGUGAAAACUGAAAAGGACAGGUCUCCUAUAUGGCACUGUAGCGUCACGAAAUAGUGCCAAAGGCAUACAGUGGGGUGUUAUUUUACUCAGCAGAUGUAACAGAACACAAAAUAAAACUUUGUACAGGAAUAGCACACACUAACUGUGACAAGAACAAUCUCGCCACUGUGCAUUGGAGGAGCCUGGUUGCCAGCCUGCUGCCUUUUGACUAUGGACCGGCAUUUAAAUACUUUAUUUCCCUAUGCAGAAAGGUCUAUUCCUGUAUUUCUGCUCUGGCGUUCGGUAGAUUCUCGGAUUUACUGAAUGAACUAAUUUAACCCAGCCAUGGAGCCUAUUCGUGUAAUAAAAGACUUUGGCUCCAUGGCAUUUGAACUGUAUGUGUGUGGUCUGAGAGCCAUUCAGUAAUAAUGUGCGCUCAGACCUAAGCUAUCUGGGGAUAUGUUGCAUGUCUGUAUUUUAUGUAAUAAAUGUAACCUUGUGUAUUUUAUGUAUUUUGUCUUUUGCUGCCAUGUGUUCAAUGGAGUUUUGGCUCUGUCCUUGGAGAUAGUUGGAUUACUUCCCAAUUAUCUCCAGGAUAGAAGACUCUGUGGAACUGGUUUUGGGCAGAAAAGCCGUGCUUCAUUUGGUCACAAAGGACUUCGAUCUAUCUUUUGAACCAAUGGACAAAUUUGGAUGAUUUUGACAUAUGUUUGUAUUUGGAGUAGGCUGAUUCUGAAAAUGUAAAUGUGAUGCAUACUUUUCACGUUUUGAAUAAUGUGGAAAAAUUAUAUUUCUCUGCCGGUGAUAAUUACAUUACCCAUUGUGUAAGGUAAUUGUAUCACAGGCAGAGGGGAGGAUUUUGUGUGGGAGUGUCUGAGUUUAUUGUACAUGUUUAUUGGUUGUUUUACAAAACCCUGUGGGUGGUACUAAUGUGUAAGAAUGUGUAUAUAAG
This is a non-coding RNA of Pelobates cultripes (western spadefoot toad), 2287 nucleotides long. The record is from the annotation of a GenBank genome assembly. Lineage: Eukaryota; Metazoa; Chordata; Amphibia; Anura; Pelobatidae.